Molecule: ribosomal RNA, 447 nt
Filed under: uncultured bacterium
Lineage: Bacteria
Description: partial 16S ribosomal RNA
Rfam family: Bacterial small subunit ribosomal RNA
Source: RNAcentral
AACGAACGCUGGCGGCAGGCUUAACACAUGCAAGUCGAACGCAUCGCAAGAUGAGUGGCAGACGGGUGAGUAACGCGUGGGAACAUACCCUUUUCUACGGAAUAGCUCUGGGAAACUGGAAUUAAUACCGUAUACGCCCUACGGGGGAAAGAUUUAUCGGGGAAGGAUUGGCCCGCGUUGGAUUAGCUAGUUGGUGGGGUAAAGGCCUACCAAGGCGACGAUCCAUAGCUGGUCUGAGAGGAUGAUCAGCCACAUUGGGACUGAGACACGGCCCAAACUCCUACGGGAGGCAGCAGUGGGGAAUAUUGGACAAUGGGCGCAAGCCUGAUCCAGCCAUGCCGCGUGAGUGAUGAAGGCCUUAGGGUUGUAAAGCUCUUUCACCGAUGAAGAUAAUGACGGUAGUCGGAGAAGAAGCCCCGGCUAACUUCGUGCCAGCCGCCGCCGUAA